GUCUACAGCCAUGCUACCCUGAACAAGCCCGAUCCCAUCUGAUAUCAGAAGCUAAGCAGGGUUGGGCCUGCUUAGUACUUAGAUGGGAGACCACCUAGGAAGACCAGGUACAGUAAGUG
RNAcentral lists this ribosomal RNA (119 nucleotides) under Pteropus alecto (black flying fox). Lineage: Eukaryota; Metazoa; Chordata; Mammalia; Chiroptera; Pteropodidae. The record is from RNAcentral.